UACAGAGGGUGCAAGCGUUAAUCGGAAUUACUGGGCGUAAAGCGCGCGUAGGUGGUUCGUUAAGUUGGAUGUGAAAUCCCCGGGCUCAACCUGGGAACUGCAUUCAAAACUGACGAGCUAGAGUGUGGUAAAGGGUAGUGGAAUUUCCAGUGUAGCGGUGAAAUGCGUAGAUAUUGGAAGGAACACCAGUGGCGAAGGCGACUACCUGGACUAACACUGACACUGAGGUGCGAAAGCGUGGGGAGCAAACAGG
Molecule: ribosomal RNA, 253 nt
Filed under: uncultured bacterium
Lineage: Bacteria
Description: partial 16S ribosomal RNA
Rfam family: Bacterial small subunit ribosomal RNA
Source: RNAcentral